Molecule: ribosomal RNA, 116 nt
Filed under: uncultured bacterium
Lineage: Bacteria
Description: partial 16S ribosomal RNA
Rfam family: Bacterial small subunit ribosomal RNA
Source: RNAcentral
CGUUCCCGGGCCUUGUACACACCGCCCGUCACACCAUGGAAGCCGGUAACACCCGAAGCCGGUGGCCUAACCCGCGAGGGAGGGAGCCGUCGAAGGUGGGAUUGGUGACUGGGGUG